UGCUGCAUGGCCGUCGUCAGCUCGUGUCGUGAGAUGUUGGGUUAAGUCCCGUAACGAGCGCAACCCUUAUCCCUAGUUGCCAGCACAUUAUGGUGGGAACGUCUAGGGAGACUGCCGGUGACAAACCGGAGGAAGGUGGGGAUGACGUCAGGUCAUCAUGGCCCUUACGGCCAGGGCUACACACGUGCUACAAUGGGUGGUACAAAGAGCAGCCAGCUCGCGAGAGUGAGCAAAUCUCAAAAAGCCAUCCUCAGUUCGGAUUGAAGUCUGCAACUCGACUUCAUGAAGUUGGAAUCGCUAGUAAUCGCGGAUCAGCAUGCCGCGGUGAAUACGCUCCCGGGCCUU
This 345-nucleotide ribosomal RNA is filed under the name uncultured Stenotrophomonas sp. RNAcentral describes it as "bacterial SSU rRNA". It matches the Rfam family "Bacterial small subunit ribosomal RNA", at positions 1039 to 1382 of the family's 1533-position model. The record is from RNAcentral. Lineage: Bacteria; Pseudomonadati; Pseudomonadota; Gammaproteobacteria; Lysobacterales; Lysobacteraceae.